UUGUUGCUUGCAUGAAAGCGCUAUAUAAAUAAAGAUGUAUAGUACUGUAUGUUAUUCACAAUGGUGGCAGUAUGCUACUGAGGGGAGAUUUAGUUACGAUCUCGACUAGCAACAGGAUUUGAGCUAUAAUUCGAGUUUUGACAAUUGUGGGAUGAGACACAUUUGUUCAUUUUGUAUUUAAUUUUGUCUCCAAUUUCUAAAGGGCUCAGGGGUUGCCUUGGAGACACCCACCUGAGCGGGUCUACUAGCCAGACAGAGAGCAGUGCCCAGGUCAUAGGCAUCGGAGUUGCGGCUGAACUUGUAGGUGGGCUUGAAAUUCAAGGGUCCCUCCUCAAAUUCCUGCAGGAAGGCCUCUUUUGUCUUCAUGCAGGUUGAGUCGUCCGCCAUUGAUGGAAGAGCGCAGGAAGUGCAGGCCGUGGUCAGCGAUGCGGAAGUUCAAAUCUCC
Hippocampus comes (tiger tail seahorse) is the source of this 445-nucleotide long non-coding RNA. RefSeq lists it as uncharacterized. The transcript is spliced from 3 exons. The record is from RefSeq and is a predicted model, not a curated record. Lineage: Eukaryota; Metazoa; Chordata; Actinopteri; Syngnathiformes; Syngnathidae.